GCUGAAUGUGGGGAUAAUUUAUCUCUGUGUUGUAGCUAACGCGUUAAGCACUCCGCCUGGGGACUACGGUCGCAAGACUAAAACUCAAAGGAAUUGACGGGGACCCGCACAAGCGGUGGAGCAUGUGGUUUAAUUCGAUGCAACGCGAAGAACCUUACCACUUCUUGACAUGGAGAUUAGAUCCUUCUUAACAGAAGGGCGCAGUUCGGCUGGAUCUCGCACAGGUGCUGCAUGGCUGUCGUCAGCUCGUGUCGUGAGAUGUUGGGUUAAGUCCCGCAACGAGCGUAACCCUCAUCCUUAGUUGCCAGCGGGUUGAGCCGGGCACUUUAAGGAGACUGCCAGUGGUAAACUGGAGGAAGGUGGGGAUGAUGUCAAGUCAGCACGGCCCUUAUGGGGUGGGCUACACACGUGCUACAAUGGUGACUACAAUAGGUUGCAAUGUCGUAAGGCUGAGCUAAUCCAUAAAAGUCAUCUCAGUUCGGAUUGUCCUCUGCAACUCGAGGGCAUGAAGUCGGAAUCGCUAGUAAUCGUGGAUCAGCAUGCCACGGUGAAUACGUUCUCGGGUCUUGUACACACUGCCCGUCACGCCAUGGGAAUUGGCUUAACUCGAAGCUGGUGCGCUAACCGAAAGGAAGCAGCCAU
RNAcentral lists this ribosomal RNA (642 nucleotides) under Anaplasma phagocytophilum. RNAcentral describes it as "bacterial SSU rRNA". It matches the Rfam family "Bacterial small subunit ribosomal RNA", at positions 815 to 1456 of the family's 1533-position model. The record is from RNAcentral. Lineage: Bacteria; Pseudomonadati; Pseudomonadota; Alphaproteobacteria; Rickettsiales; Anaplasmataceae.